GGACGAAGGCGUCAAACAGUUGAAAAGGAAAGUUGGCAUUAAAUCGAGGCCACAUGGUUGGAGAGGCCAUAACGUCAUGCUAAAAUUCAGAGGUUGACUAUCUUGGAGGAGAAGGUAUGGAUUGAUUGUGAAUUGGCGAGGGAUCCACAUGUAUAUUUUUCGGAGAGGGAGAUCGAACAGGAUUAGGUUCGUGGACUGGUGAGGGAGCCGAAGAUGAACCUGGAUGGCUAUCUGAUGGAUGUUUCCUUUUUUGGGAUAAGAUGGGGACAGAUCCGACCAGUUCAUCAUCAGGCACCUGAAUUUCUGUUAGGACUAUUGGGGGAAUGUCAGCCGAAGACGAUGGAACUCGGAGCUCAUCGGCAGUCAAAGGGGUAAUCUUUGUCCUUAUCUUCUUAGCACGAAGAACCUUCGCCCGAUCAUGGAGAGGUAUGUCAAGUAGGCUUCUCUUAAUUGGGGCAGAUUCGGAAGGUGCAGAACUAGGGUUGGAUGAAGGGGCUGCUUGUGGAAUUGCUUCGGGAAUUGUUUCCGGAUCACUUUCAGGAUUUGUUUCCGGCUGGGUGGAUUUGGAUUUCUUGGCGG
Molecule: long non-coding RNA, 579 nt
Filed under: Panax ginseng (ginseng)
Lineage: Eukaryota; Viridiplantae; Streptophyta; Magnoliopsida; Apiales; Araliaceae
Description: long non-coding RNA (PGIN_LNC009062)
Source: RNAcentral